Long non-coding RNA from Callithrix jacchus (white-tufted-ear marmoset), 5367 nucleotides. RefSeq lists it as uncharacterized. The record is from RefSeq and is a predicted model, not a curated record. NCBI's taxonomy places the organism in Eukaryota, Metazoa, Chordata, Mammalia, Primates, Cebidae.
UGCGCUGCAUGGUGGAGGCGCGGGCGGGCGGGGGUAACCGGCGCGGACGCCGAGACAGUGCCUGGCAGCGGGACCUGGCUACCCUGGACAGCGCAUCGCCGCCCGCCUGGGUUGCCGCGCCACAGCCGCUGCGGAUCAUGCAUUGCCACAAGACAUCCAAAUGACCAAUAUGAGACUGCAUGAGGCUCGUACUCACCAGCCGAAACAGAAGAUGACGAAAUAGAUGCCAAAGAUGGCGGCAACCGCGUGCCUGACAUCAGAGCUGGUUUGACCAGGACAUUUCCACAUCAAGAUGCUUCUCAGACUUGGAUUUGUUCUUUCUCCCCAGUAGACUGUUUGGAGGAAGAAAUGAAUAUAACAGAACAAGAUAACUAUACCCUUGUGUGGUAUAAAAAGCAGCAAACCCAACAGUUUCUUCUCUAACCUUCAAGACUGGCCGAGGUUGUUCUCCCACCCACAAGCAGGGGGCUUUUCACGGAAACAGCCUAAGCUAACUGUGAGCCCUGUUUACUGGGUCUCUUUUCUCACCCCCAGCAGGACCCUAAGACAAGGAAGGCGUUCUUUCAGAGAUGCAAAGUUUAACAGAGAAGCUCCCUUAUUUGGUACCUAGAAAAUCAAACUGUUCUCCAAAGUGAUCACCAGUUGUUUCCUGACUCUGAGAAUGACUCGCAUUCCCUAAGACAGGUACUAAACCCAUCGUUCUGCUCUAGCAAAAUCCAGGACUUCCAUCAAUGUCUCAUUCUAAAUUGGCAUCCAAUAAAGAAGAGCGUUCCUCAAAUUCCAGGUGUGACACUGAAGAUCUAAAAGAGUGACAGAGCUCUGCAUUCCACGUCCAAUGCCAAGCCCGUCUAGUGACGCAAGGUAUCACCAAAUUUCCUUAGAAAAACCUCAGUGGUCCACCUCUUGAGAAUAUUGUGCCUAAAACAUGUGAAAAUGUCCUGAAAUGUACAGAAAAGGUCAGCUGAUUUUAUAAAACAAAAAACAAACAUGUACCUUUGCAGUUUAAAUUUACUCAAAUCAAAUUCUAAAUACAUUAAGUGAUUUAACCAUUCAUUUAAAUCAGAAAAGUAACUUAAACCCUGGGAGGUAGGAGUGGAGCGAGCAGACACGAGCUUAAUUUGCGCUCAUUUUGCUUGCCCAACAAAAAACAAUACUUUAGACCCUUUAUAACUCAUAGAAAAUGUUGCUUUCAGAAAAUUUUUGUUUUUGUUUUGAGACAGAGUCUCACUCUGUCAUCCAGGCUCGAGUGCAGGGGUGUGAUCUCCACUCACUGCAACCUCCACCUCCCGGGUUCAAGAAGUUUUCCUGCCUCAGCCUCCUGAGUAGCUGGGACUACAGGUGUGUGCCACUGCACCUGGCUCAUUUUUUUUUUUUUAAUUUCUAGUAGAGACGGGGUUUCACCAUGUUGGCCAGGCUGGUCUCGAACUCCUAACAUCAGGUGAUCCACCCACCUUGGCCUCCCAAAGUGCUGGGAUUACAGGUGUGAGCACCACACCCAGUACUUGUUUUGGUUUUUUAAAAGUUGACUGUAGGCCAGGUGUGGUGGCUCACAUCUAUAAUCCCAGCACUUUGGGAGGCUGAGGCGGGCGGAUCACCUGAGGUCAGGAGUUUGAGACCAGCCUGGUCAACAUGAUGAAACCCUGUCUCUACUAAAAAUACAAAAAUUAGCCAGGCUUGGUGGUGGGUGCCUGUAACCCAAGCUACUCAGGAAGCUGAGGCGGGAGAAUCACAUGAACCUGGGAGGCAGAGGUUGCAGUGAGCUGAGAUUGUGCCACUGCACUCCAGCCUGGGCAACAGAAUGAGACUUAAUUUCAAAAAACAAAAAUUAGUAAUAAUAAAAUAAAACAAAUAAAUCAAUAUUUAAAAAAUAAUAGUUGACCAUAGUGUGUUUCACCUUUCCAAAAACCUGUUCUCACCACUGCCCAUGUUCACUUUCUACCUUGAAAGACAGAGAAGUGACUUGCAAACCUACCCUGCAGGAUUUGGUCAUAACUUUUCAUCUAGGCUGAAUGAACAGCCAACAAAAACACACAACACACAUUAUAUACAGAAAAAAGAUCACCUUAGUAAGGUUCAAAAUGUAAAGGAAUUGGCAACUGGGAAGUCCGAAAGUUAUCAUCAUAGGAGACAGAUCACUUAUGAUAUUUAUAGCUUAUUUUUUCGUAUGUAGUAGAGAUGGGGUUUCACCAUGUUAGACAGGCUGGUUGUAAACUUCUGACCUCAGGUGAUCUACCCACCUUGGCCUCACAAAGUGCUGGGAUUACAGGCAUGCACCACCACGCCUGGCCCACAAUUUUUUUAAAAAAGGUCCAGGCUGGAGUGUGAUAUGAAUUUCUUUGUGUUGGCUGGCUCAUAUCUACACCGGUGGCUGGUGGAGAAUAUAACCAUCUCUGCAGCCAAGUGCAGGUGGCUCCCAUCACAAAUCAUAUAGGCACAGAGUUAAAUUUUUUUCCUUUCCUCUACAAAGGGUCAACAAAAUCAGAGGCCUGAUGUAGAUUGUGUACAGAAUAAAUGCAUUAGGCCAGGCACGGUGGCUCAAGCCUGUAAUCCCAGCACUUUGGGAGGCCAAGGCGGGUGGAUCAUGAGGUCAAGAGAUCCAGACCAUCCUGGUCAACAUGGUGAAACCCCGUCUCUACUAAAAAUACAAAAAAUUAGCUGGGCACGGUGGCACGUACCUGUAAUCCCAGCUACUCGAGAGGCUGAGGCAGGAUAAUUGCCUGAACCCAGGAGGCGGAGGUUGCGGUGAGCCAAGGUCACGCCAUUGCACUCCAGCCUGGGUAACAAGAGCGAAACUCUGUCUUGGGAAAAAAAAAAACAAAAACCCUGCAUGCUCUGCACGUGCACCCAGAAUUUAAAGUAUAAUUUUAAAAAUAAAAUAAAAGGAAGAUAUUGUGUUAAAUGAUAUAAGCCAGGCACAGAGAGAUAAAUAUAUGUGGAAUCUACAAGGUCAGAAAAGGAGAGUGUUAAACAGUGGUUAUGAGAAGCUGGGGGUGGGAGGAGGUAGAGGAAAAAGGGGAGACACUGAUCAAUGGGUACAAAGUUACUCUUUGAGGUGAUAGGUUAUGUUAAUUAAUAAAUAUAUGUGGAAUCUACAAGGUCAGAAAAGGAGAGAGUUAAACAGUGGUUAUGAGAGGCUGGGGGUGGGAGGAGGUAGAGGAAAAAGGGGAGACACUGAUCAAUGGGUACAAAGUUACUCUUUGAGGUGAUAGGUUAUGUUAAUAAAUAUAUGUGGAAUCUACAAGGUCAGAAAAGGAGAGUGUUAAACAGUGGUUAUGAGAGGCUGGGGGUGGGAGGAGGUAGAGGAAAAAGGGGAGACACUGAUCAAUAGGUACAAAGUUACUCUUUGAGGUGAUAGGUUAUGUUAAUUAGCCUGAUUUGAUCAUUUCACAAUAUACACAUGUAUCAAAACAUCACACUGUACCCUAUAAAUAUAUACAUUAUCAGUCAAUUAAAAGUAAAAUAAAACUUACAAAACAUAUUAUCAUGAUGUUCCUUAAUAAACCCUUCACGUUUAAAAGGAACAUGCGCAAAGGUCACCUGUCUACUGAUCCACUCCCUUCGAAGCAGCAAACAAAGUGGCACGUUCAUUCCCGACAUGCAGCAAUGUGCUCUCAACAGUUAAAGCAUCGUGUGGGCCUCUGUGCAUGAAGGGACAGUGGAGCUCAGCUAUUUUGAUCAGAUUCUUACAAACAAGCAAGACUGACAUCACUCGGAUUCAGCAAAAGCUCAAUUUCCACAGCUCUAGCAAGAUUUCCAAAGUCACUGCAAGGAAACAAAACACAUGGCCAAGCGCUUGACUUCUUACGUCAUCAAACCACAAUCAAACUGUGCUGCACCUUUCAAACGCAAGCCUUAAAUCCACUCUAAUGGGCUGCUAGAAAGACAUUAUUUGGGGAUUUCUGUUCCAUGUCCUUCGGGCUCUUCCAAAAAAACAACACACUUUGCCAGGAGUUAAAAACAUUGCCUUUCUCCUAAGCAAGAGACGUAAACGGGCUAUUUUUAACAAAUAGCAAAUAUCAACGGUCUAAAAGUAUUUCCCCUACUGCAGUGACUCCCCAGUGAGCAACAGGCAACUGUCCAGGCCUGGAAUGUCCAGUACACCCAACUAAAAUGUUUCUGUACAACAAAGGAAAAAAUUAACAGAGUGAAGAGACAACCCACACAUUGGGAGAAAAUAUUUGCAAAUCACAGGGGCUAAUAUUCAAAAUAUGCAAAGAACUCCAACUGCUUAAUAACAAGAAAAUAAACACUCGGCAACACUGCCUUAUAUGCUCCAAGGCAAAACCAAUCCAGUUAAACAAUCCCUUAUUUAAGGCCAAGCCAUUCCUCCCCCACAAACAGGAGUCCUUUGCAUUGCCUCCUCCAAAUAAACGUAGCUGGGAAAGAGUACUAAAAAUGCUAUUCCUUCCAGUACCAUAGAACAAAAAGUGGCUGUAGGAUACUCUUCAGUGACUUUACACUUUCAAAGGGAUCCUUUGUUACACGUUCAUUUCAACACUCCUCAGAAUGUUAGUAGGAAGCAUGUUAAAAUCUCUAAAUAGCCUUCUUUUUCCAAGUUUGUGGACAAGCAAAUAUUAUUUAAGAUUGAUAAUUGGCUGGGCGCUGUGACUCAUGCCUGUAAUCCCAGCACUUUGGGAGGCCAAGGAAGGCAGAUCAGGAGGUCAGGCGAUUGAGACCAUUUCGGCCAACAUGGUGAAACCCCAUCUCUACUAAAAAUACAAAAAUUAGCUGAGUGUGGUGGUGUGUUCCUGCUACCCAGCUACUCAGGAGGCCGAGGCAAGAGAAUCACUUGAAUCAGAGAGUCGAAGGUUGCGGUGAGCUAAGAUCACACCACUACACUCCAGCCUGGUGACAGAACAAAACUCCAUCUCAAAAAAAAGAAAAAGGAAAGAUUGAUAACCAAUAUAUACAAUUUAUAGCCCAAAAAACAAACAAAAAUAAACAUCUAAUUCAAGGAUCCCCAACCACCCAGCCACAGACCAGUACUGGUCCACAGCCUGUUAGGAACUGGGCCACACAGCAGAAGUUGAGUGUAGGUGGCCCAGAGAAGCUUCAUCUGUAUUUACAGCCACUCCCCAUCACCUGCAUUACCACCUGAACUCCACCCCCUGUCAGAUCGGCAGUGACAUUAGAUUCUCACAGGAGCGUAAGCCCUAUGGUGACCCGCACAUGCCAGGGAUGUAGGCUGCACUUAUCAGAAUGCCUGAUGAUCUGUCACUGUCUCCCAUCACCCCCAGAUGGGACCAUCUAGUUGCAGGAAAACAAACUCAGGGCUCCCUCUGAUUCUACAUCAUGGUGAGUUGUAUAAUUAUUUCAUUAUAUAUUACAAUGUGACAAUAACAGAAAUAAAGUGUGCAGUAAACAUAA